RNAcentral lists this ribosomal RNA (254 nucleotides) under uncultured bacterium. RNAcentral's name for it is "partial 16S ribosomal RNA". It matches the Rfam family "Bacterial small subunit ribosomal RNA", at positions 524 to 776 of the family's 1533-position model. The record is from RNAcentral.
UACGAAGGGGGCUAGCGUUGCUCGGAAUCACUGGGCGUAAAGCGCACGUAGGCGGAUUUCUAAGUCAGGGGUGAAAUCCUGGAGCUCAACUCCAGAACUGCCUUUGAUACUGGGAAUCUUCGAGUCCGGGAGAGGUGAGUGGAACUGCGAGUGUAGAGGUGAAAUUCGUAGAUAUUCGCAAGAACACCAGUGGCGAAGGCGGCUCACUGGCCCGAUACUGACGCUGAGGCACGAAAGCGUGGGGAGCAAACAGG